This 1335-nucleotide ribosomal RNA is filed under the name Triticum aestivum (bread wheat). RNAcentral describes it as "partial small subunit ribosomal RNA". The record is from RNAcentral. Lineage: Eukaryota; Viridiplantae; Streptophyta; Magnoliopsida; Poales; Poaceae.
AUGCUGCUGCUCCCUCCAUUGCUGCAGCCGAUGCCUCCUACUGCUCUUACUGUUGCUUGCUCGAGCAUCGCUGCUGUCGGAGUUUCGUCUGCGCGCACCCCUGCUGGUUCGGAUUCGCCUGUGCGCGGCUCCGCGUCCUCGCCCGCAGGCCCCGGCCUCCCCUGCCGCGCUGGCCCCCUGCGCCUGCCGGCUUGCCGCCCGCCCGGCCAGCUCCGGGUCGGUGCGCCCCCGGCCCCCUGCUCCGCACUCGCCCGCCAGCCCGCCACUCUGGCCGGGUCCUCCACAGUCGGCUGUAUCGCCCUGCGUCGGCUGCUUCGCGCCUCCUCCCGCGUCCGCCUCGCCUCUGCCGUGUCCGGCUCCUACCCAAGCCGGCUCCUGCGCGCGCCUGCCGGCUGGCGCCCGCGACCCGGCCUCCGCGCCAUCUCCGUCCCGCGGCCUCGCCCCUCCACGGCUCCGACGAGCUGGCCGACUUCCCCGAGCGCGCUCGCCCCGCUCCACCAUCCGUGCGGCCCGGACGCCGCCUCCCCGCGCGAUCCGGCCGCCACCUCCCUCGGCCCCGCCCGCAGCCCGGACGGCCGGCUCCUCCCGCCGCCCGGCGUCCGACCUCCCGGGACCUCCGCGCCGGCUCCGCCUUCUCGCCUAGCUGGCCUCGAGCGUCCGGCUCCUUCCCUCUGGGUCUUUCGUGCCGGCUCGCCGGCUCCGCCCUGGCCGGUUCCCCCAACCCAGCCGCCUCUGCUGCCGGCCUCCACGCCCGGCCCCGGCCGCUUGCCGUCUCCUCCCCGAGCCGGACGGCUGGCUCCGCCGCUUGCCGGCUCCAUCGCCUGCCGGCUUCGCCCUCCACCCGGCCGGCCUGGCCGGCUCCCCCGCUCCCUAGCUGCGCGCCUCCCGCAUCGCCGUCCGCCUGCUGGCCCCUGGCCGCCUCCGUCUCGCGCGCACACCGAGCCCCUCCGUCACGCCCAGCUCCGGCUGCGUCGCGCCUGCCCGGCCUCCCCAGCGGCCGGCUUUGCCUCCAUCUGGCCCCGAGCACCGUGUCGGCUUCGGCUCGGCCUACCCCGCGCUGUCCAGCCCCAAGGGCCGCGCCGGCUUCGCCUCCGCCCGCGCGCCCGCGGCCGCCGGCUCCCUCCCGCGCCGCCCGACUCUGUCUGCGCGACCGGCUUCACCAGCGCCUGGCGGUCGGGUCGCCGCGCCCCUCCGCUCCGCCCUGACCACAACCCGGCUCCGGGUGCUCGGCUCGCCGCCUCACCUCCGGGCGCCCGGGUGCGCCUCAGCCGGCUCCCGUUGUUCGCUGCCGCAGCCUGUCGGUGUCGCUCGGGCAGCCGGGAGAGAGAAAAAUAA